UCUGGUGGCAAGAUCGUUGGGGUCACACCGGUUCCCAUUCCGAACACCGUAGUUAAGUCCGACAGAGCCGAUGAUACUGGGGCGUGACGCCUUGGGAAAGUAGGUCACCGCCAGAG
This 116-nucleotide ribosomal RNA is filed under the name Sulfidibacter corallicola. Lineage: Bacteria; Pseudomonadati; Acidobacteriota; Holophagae; Acanthopleuribacterales; Acanthopleuribacteraceae. The record is from RNAcentral.